Long non-coding RNA from Dalotia coriaria, 509 nucleotides. RefSeq lists it as uncharacterized. Lineage: Eukaryota; Metazoa; Arthropoda; Insecta; Coleoptera; Staphylinidae. The record is from RefSeq and is a predicted model, not a curated record. The transcript is spliced from 2 exons.
AACAUAACCCCUAAUUCAUUUAUCAAAGGUCCUAAACCAAGUUUAUUUUACUUUGUUAGCCGUUAAAUCGAAAACCAUGCACAAAGAUUGCAGUAAAGAUGAAACAUCCCAAAGAUUGGACAACUUAAUAGAAUUACUACACAAUGAUAUGAAUGUCUGUCCAGUGAAAAACAACACAAAUAACAUUAAGGACCUAAAGCUAAAAUGUAGCCAGAUAUCAAGUGAAGUUGAGGACAUUAAUACGAAUUUGCUGAAUAUCAAAGCCUACAAGAUGUUGACAAAGCAAAUGGUGAUAAGAUAUGAGGACAAAUUAAUCACAAGUAAGUAGUGUCAUUUUAUAAUAUUGAAAACAGCAAAUGCAAAGAAAGAAAUUACUUUUCAGUUCCAGCCAAGCAAACAACUCCAUUCCAAUAAGGAUGUUGAUAUUCUUAGAUCUUAAGUUAAUUUAUCACUGACAAAGUAAUGAAUGUAAAUGCAUUUUGAAUAAAAUUAUUUGUCUAAUCUGCAAA